Molecule: long non-coding RNA, 2939 nt
Organism: Topomyia yanbarensis
Lineage: Eukaryota; Metazoa; Arthropoda; Insecta; Diptera; Culicidae
Exons: 3
Source: RefSeq, a predicted model, not a curated record
UUUGAACGUUAUAAUGUGCUUCUUGCUAUUUUCAUAUUUCCACAAAUAAAAAUAUCGAAAAGUCUACUUAGCCUUUAGAGGAGGAGGGGGUUGGCAAAAGUCUACUGAGUCUACUAGGGGGAGGGGGGUGCUGGGUUCAAAAAAUCUCAAAUUUCGGUCUACGUGGGUCCCUUAACUUCACACAUUUAGUUACAUGCAAAAAAUAACGCCCAUAUGAACAACGGAAAAUAAAACUCACAAGGACAGAAAAUGUUUCAUUAAACCCGCUAUUAGAAUGUAAAGAUCAGAAAUAAACUUCAAGCGUAAGAAUCGGACUGAGAUCCUUCAGCAUAAGAAACGCCAAAAAAGUUGUCAACCGCAAAACUCGACAAGGAUGAACCUCCAGUUUAAAAACCGGUUAAAAUUAAAUAAUUCGUAUGCAGGAGUAUCCGUAUAUCGCGACGUUCAAGAUAAAAAGUCAGCUAAAAAACUACUUUGUAAGAAUCGGUUAUAGUUUUCCGGUUUUUAUACUGAAGGUUAUUUAAUCCGGCUCUUAGAGGGGAGAAUCUCAGUUCGAUUUUUAUGCUUGAAGUUUAUAUCAGAAUUUUACAUUCUAAUACAUUUGAAGCGGGUUUUACGAAGCAUGUUUUGUCCUAGCGACUUUUAUUUUUGGUCGUUCAUAUCCACUAGACAACACGUUCCAUGGCGACACUAGUGAACUCUGGUGAUAUGGAAAAACUCACUUUCUUCUUGCAUCUGAACCGUACACCAAAAAUUACGUAUCUGAUUCACGGUCCGCGAUCAUCCAAGAACACAUGCGAAUAUGCGAAAGGCACACGGUCAUAAAAUAUAAUUUAUACACGCGAAGUUACAUACACGUUAUCACACGCGACAUAGUAACUCAUACGCGAUCGAAAACGUUAAUGUACAAACGCCUAAACCCUUCACUAUGAUACACGCAAUCGCGAACUCCCUACGCCCGCACAUAUCUGAACCGUAAAAUGAAUAUCACAUUCAGAAUCACGGCCCACUGUAAUUGGCCUUAAGCAGUUUACUGGGUAACAUUUCCCGUCUUGUUUUCAAUUGUAUUGUUGGGAGUCCUGUCGAGACUAUAGCUCUACUGCUCCAGUACUCUCGAGGAAAAUGUACUCUGGGUUUUAACUGGAGUGUGUGGCGAAGGGUUACUCCCCCACAUAUCGCACCGCCAUGUCCUAACCCCAACUCGUUAAACCCCCUCAGAUCCACCAGUCCCCUCAGACUACCACCCCAUCAGACCCCGAUAAUCUAGGUCAAUCCAAUCUGAUCCCUUAGAUAAACAGCUAAAACAAUGCACCGUAUUAUUCGCAAAAUCUAUUCAAAUUUAUUCACAGAUUCGUUUUUUUUCAGGUGUUGAACUUGAUCAUGGCAUUCGGUAAUUUAUUUGUUUUCGUGACACUUAUUCAGGACUUUUUUUGGUAGUAUUGUUUACACCUGAUCUCCAUGAUAGUCCACCCUGGACACUAAUCCAGACACAUUAACCUGCCCAGAAACCAGUGUCAUGCAAACUCGUUCGAGUCCAAAUGCUUCCCGAGUUUCAAAGUUUUGCGAUCGUCUAAAUAUUUCAAAUUAAUGGUAACGAUAAACUUUGUCGGAUGGAAAAACUUUCAGUAUAGUAAUAGUCUGUAUCACCUGGCAAUCUGACUUCCUUGAAUAGCACAAACCGUCGUUUUUUUAUAUCCUUGCAUUAUGGAAAUUGUACAAAACUCGGAAGGAUACGACCAGCACCGAGCUAUAGGACGAUUGGUAGUGGUCGAAAAAUGCAAGUGUUACUCCGGAGCUUGAGCUCCAAUUGAACCACUAAUAAUCUAAUGGUUGCAUAAUUAUUUCGUGGUUAGUUUGUGUGGAAAUGAACCACAACGGCAGCCGAUACACGUCGUUCGCCUUUGCUAGUGGAGGGAUCGCUGGCAGCGGCGGUGCCCGAGGGGAACUGAGCAGUGGAAAUUUGAACAGAAAGCUGAGUAGUCCGAUGGCAGAGUCGACACAGUUGGACAGCAGCGGUAUCCGGGGGAAUCUUUACGGUAGUCCGGUAGGACAGGUUGGAGUUGGGAAAAGAAGCCUACCUCUCCGUUGCAAAAUAGCAGGACAAAUUUUAGAAGAAGCUGAAUGGCGUCCGGGUCCAGUGUGGAUCGAUUGAUUGAUCCUAAGAUUUACGCGGAUGUUCAGAGCCGAGGAUUGGUUAACCGGUUGGUAAAGUACCACGACAAAAUGCAAUCGCCGUUAAAUAAGAGUCAAUCGAUGACUAGCCUGUACUCGAAGCCGGGUCAAUUUCAUGUGUGGUGGAGGAGAAACAAUUCUUCGACAGCUCCCAUUGGUUCGAAUUGCCCCGUCAGAGAAGUCCGUGUUUCAGGCUGACACAAGGUGGAACGGGAGGGAUCGUUGCUCAUUCCGACGAAACCUCAUCUGAAGAUGAUCCGAACACAUAGACACGAGGAUGAGAUUGAUGCGGAAAAUAGUGUGAUUGCGCCUUCGACAGAACUGGAUGCCGAUUGGAUUAAGAAACAAUGUAAGGAACUAUCGGAGGUUGAUUCAGGCGAAGCUGGUACAAAGCAAGCUCGGGAAAUUACAUACACGGCUUCGCCCCCGUGUCGAGGGUCGGCGAAUCAGCAGCUGCAGACGAAGAAAUUAUGUAGUAAAGCCUCGAGCCUGGUGAUGAACACUCCGAAAGUGGAACGCGUAGCGCCCCGACCGACACGAUUAAAUGUGGAUGUCUUUCUCGACGCCGGUAACAUUGAAUGCGAUGGUUCCAUUUAGCAUGAUUGAAUCGAGCAAACCGGCAAAAUUAAGUAGAAUUGAUUCCGCUCCUUUGCCACAGAUUACGAGAAUUGUUCCGGAGUUUCAACCGCCUCUGAUGGAAUAUCCGCCACUAAAGCUAACGUUGUUUAACAAGAAAUAUAACGUCCUGGCGCUAAUAAAAAUUUUGA